RNAcentral lists this unclassified non-coding RNA (266 nucleotides) under Hevea brasiliensis (rubber tree). Lineage: Eukaryota; Viridiplantae; Streptophyta; Magnoliopsida; Malpighiales; Euphorbiaceae. The record is from RNAcentral.
GAUGAAGCUGAUCUUGCAACAAAUACAGGUUUUAUAGGCUAAGAAAGUGUUGCUCUUUCGCUUCCCAACAUAACGACGACAGAUGACAUUGUAGGUCUCUGAGCUGGUUCGUCUUGCACACACAGCAAUCCAAUGUCGAUGAAACUUCAAGACCUCAGGCGCCGCCACAUUUGACUUCAAAAGUAAUGAGUCCACCAACUCCAUUCCUUAUCCUUUAGACUACAUCUUCCAUGCCUGGAAUAUAUCAUUUGAAGUUAUCGAUUAAU